UUUGAGAUAAGGUAAAGUUCCUUUUUCGUUUAUCAGAGGGUAGGGGACUUUCAGAUUAUGUAAUUUUCAUUCGAUUCCUAUGCUCGAUGUCUUUCUAUAUCUCUUGCCAUCUCCUAAUUUAGUCUGCGAAUUGCCACAAACUACCUAACUUGUUGUCUGAAACGAAGAGGAAUACGAAUCAGUUUUGGGAAGAAGAAGAAGAGGAAGAAGACGCAUUAGUCUAUUUUCUCGUCUCUCUGAGUAGCUUUCGUUGUGGAGCUCUUUCCCGCUUUGUAGCGAUGUUCGUCCUCAGAGUUCAUUCAGUUGACUUGGAGCGAACAAUUUCCAUCGAAGAAGAAGCCACAGGUUUUACCUACGCAUUGAAGAGAUCUCAGCCUCCUCUUAAACUCAUACAACCAUCAUCAUCUCUCAAAAUCACCGUACGCAAAGGUCUGAUCCAUUUCUACCGGAACUCUUCUCACAGCUCCCUCUCUAACCCUAGAUUCCGAUCCACCACUCUCUUUAUCGUCGAUCCAAAUUACUUUUCCACCCUCGAUUUUAUCCGAUUCUGCGAUUCCCGCAUCGCUAAUGUCUCCGAGAUCCUAUUCAUCAGACAGAUGGUGCACUCUUCAUUUUCUUCUUCUGCGGUUGGACGUCUUUUAGAAGUCUCUAGAUCGUGAAUGAGGACGUCGAUGUCUAAUCUCGCAAUGGCAUGGAGGGAGAAAUCUGUGAUUGUGAAACUUAGAAGAAUAGACCUACCUGUUGGAGGUUCUGCCAUUCGAACUGCAUUGAAGAAGGGAAGCUGAUCUGGCGAAAUUGUAGUCGUGUUGGUGUAAAUCAGGAAACCAAAUCGAGAAUAAAGAAGAAGUUGUUAUGUCUGGUUUACAGAAACAUGGCUAAUGGAAGUUUACAUAAGAUCCUUCUGAUGUUUAGGCAUAUCAUUGAAGUCCAUGAGUGAUCGUUCAUGUUGGUGGAGGAUUUGUUCUAUCUCGAUCAAAGUAUAAUGUUGCAGCUCAUCCUCUUUGAAACUCAUGGUGGGAAAUCCAAAAGCUCGCCGUUGCUUGUCAGCCACUGAUUGUCGACCUUCAAGAUGGAUAAUCAAUUUCUUUACCGAAGGCUUCCUUUGGUGUAUGUGAAAUGCAAAAAUGCGCCACAUAGCUUCACAAGCAGAGAGAUAUCGACAGUCUAGACUUUGUUUGCCAUGCAAGGAGACGAUGGCCUAUCCAUUCCACAAGGUCCAUGCAUCAUGUGCUUUUCCACCAGUUCAAAUCCAAGUGGGUCUUCAUUUUUGUUGGGUAGUUCCGCAGAAAUGAUUGCAUUUAUUUGGCCAGGGCUUGGUUGUUUCGGUGUGUUAUCUAACCAUAGAAGUAUAUGAGCAUGUGGGAGGCCACGUUUCUGGAACUCAAUGGUGUGUAGCACUGAAUGAAAUGUGAAAAGCAUGUCUUUCAAGAGUUCAUCGAGUUUCAUUUUGAAGACACGACAUUCAAUAUCAGGUCAGCUCUUAACUGUUCUUGGUUGUCUUUUGCCCAGCGAAGUCUUUCUUGCUCAAUGACUGUGUAUACAUCAACAACAUACUGGUGAAAUAAGCGUCCUGACUUUAUGAUUGUCAUUCCUUCCGCCAGUCUUGUUUGGAUUUGGUAAGCAUAGAACUCUCUGAUACUUAUGUAUGUCCUUCUUCUUUCGCCAUUUUGUGUGACUGCAUGGGGUUUCUGUGUGAAACCCAAAUUCGCCAAAAGGAAACAACAAUGGAUAUUGCAAGCUCAUGAACAAAGGAUGAUCGUCCCUAAUUUCUUGCAAGUGGCCUGUCUGCAAUUCCAAGAUUACAUCUCUGUAAGCGGUAGUAGCAGUUAUAUCUCCCACAAUAAGACCCGCAACUUCUUUCACUUGAGGUAAAUCAUACUGCUUACCUUUACUUCUUUGACCAACCAAUCUCAUUCUUAAGUCUUGGACUUCUUUUGCUUUGUAUCUAUCUCUUGCUUUCCGGAAGAACAUACACAAACAAUUGUGUUCAUCUAACAUCUUAAGCAAGCCGACAACUAUAUCCUCUUGAAGGUC
Molecule: long non-coding RNA, 2034 nt
Organism: Camelina sativa (false flax)
Lineage: Eukaryota; Viridiplantae; Streptophyta; Magnoliopsida; Brassicales; Brassicaceae
Source: RefSeq, a predicted model, not a curated record